AUUGAACGCUGGCGGAAUGCUUUACACAUGCAAGUCGAACGGCAGCACGGACUUCGGUCUGGUGGCGAGUGGCGAACGGGUGAGUAAUGUAUCGGAACGUGCCCAGUCGUGGGGGAUAACGUAGUGAAAACUACGCUAAUACCGCAUACGAUCUAUGGAUGAAAGCGGGGGAUCGCAAGACCUCGCGCGAUUGGAGCGGCCGAUAUCAGAUUAGGUAGUUGGUGGGGUAAAGGCCCACCAAGCCAACGAUCUGUAGCUGGUCUGAGAGGACGACCAGCCACACUGGAACUGAGACACGGUCCAGACUCCUACGGGAGGCAGCAGUGGGGAAUUUUGGACAAUGGGCGAAAGCCUGAUCCAGCCAUUCCGCGUGCAGGAUGAAGGCCCUCGGGUUGUAAACUGCUUUUGUACAGAACGAAAAGGUUUCUACUAAUACUAGGAGCUCAUGACGGUACUGUAAGAGUAAGCACCGGCUAACUACGUGCCAGCCGCCGCAGUAA
RNAcentral lists this ribosomal RNA (500 nucleotides) under uncultured bacterium. RNAcentral describes it as "partial 16S ribosomal RNA". It matches the Rfam family "Bacterial small subunit ribosomal RNA", at positions 30 to 523 of the family's 1533-position model. The record is from RNAcentral.